GCAUCCAUAAUUUCUUCUAAUCUGUCCUCCACCUCCAUUUCUCAUUCUUCUGCCUCCUGUAUUCUGCUGUUAGCUGCUUCUAGUGAGUUUUUUAUUUCAGUUAUUGUAUUUUGCAUCUCUUCUUGUUUAAGUUUUAUAUAUUAUAUCUCUUUGGUUAGUGUUUCCUGUAAGUUAUCCAUCUUUGCCUCCAGUUUAUUUCCAAUGUCUUGCAUCAUCUUCAGCAUCAACAGUCUAAAGUCUUUUUCCUGGAGGCUGAGAAUCUCCUCAUUGCUUAGCUGAUUUUCUGGGGUUUUUCCUUUCUCCCUCAUCUGAGUUAUAGUUCUCUGUCUUUUCAUUUUUAUAGGUUUUUGGUGUGGUGACCUUUUUAUAGAUAAUAGAGCUGUAGCCUCUCUUACUUCUGGUGUCUGCCCCCCUUGUGGCUGAAGUUGGUAUGGGGGGCUUGCUGUAGGCUUCCUGAUGGGAGGGUAUGUUAGACUUGAGUGGGGAGCCACAAGGUGGGGAGCAUUUAGGAUAGCACAGGAGUCCUGGAUCCCUGAGAGAAUGGUACAGAAAAGGGAAGUUGGCACUGGCAAAAAUAUAAAUUUUCUUGUUUCAAAAUAUUUUGCAGUGGGUCUGCUCUGCCUCAGAAAAGCAGAAAAUCUCUACUUCCCUCUUAUCUCUAUACACAUGCUAUAUGCUUUCUUCCAAGCCUCCCCAAAUCAGGCUGGAGUUAUUAUAAAUGUCAUUAUGAUUUAAUGAAACUUUGUUGCCUAUCCAGAGAAACCAAUCAUCACAUAUGACCCUUUUAAUAGGAAUAUGUCAUGAAUUACAAAGAUUUAAAAGAAAUUUUUGGAAUACUACCCAUUCAUAAGUUGAGUCUUGGCUAAUUAUUUAAUUUUUCAUAAUUUUGUUCUGAACUAUGGGUAUCUUGAAUAGUGACGAGGAAGGAGUUUUACAGAGAGUGGGUACCAAAAUAAUAUUUGAUUUGAAAUUUAGAAUAUAUAAUUACCAUUUAUAUAGCCCUAAAUCUUACUAUGUAGCAGCUUUUUUAUUGCCACUGUUUCCCACAAUAUGAAAUAGAAAGCAGCCAUAUACAUUAAUGUAUAAUUAAAAGAGGGAUUAUAUACCUGCAUUAAUGCUACAUAAAUCACACGUGCAAUGUUUUAUAUAAUCAUCUUAUGCAAUAUGCAAGUAAUCAUCUUAUACAAUAUGCAUGUACUUUAUACAAUAUAGGAUAAUGCAAUAUAUCAAUCAAUUAAAUCAAUUAGGGACAAACAGUAUCAUGAAAUGUUAUGUGGCAGUACACUUGGUUUUUACCACCUUAGUACAAGAGAGAUUAGAAGAAUAUGAACAUUGGGUCCAUUAUUCAAAACAAUAUUUUGAAAAGAGUAUAUGAUGUAAUUUUCAAAACCUUUAAAACAUAUCUUAUAGAUUUUUUUCCAGAAUAUUCCAUAACUUGAAUUCUAAAGGAACCCAUAACCAAAUGCUAGAUUCUGAACAGCAAAUAUGGCUUGUGGUUUCCAAAGUGGAUCAGAUGAGAGAAUGAACCAGAACAAGGCCAUUCCCUCAUUUGCCCUGCAAAGACCAAUUCAAAUCAAUCUCAUCUCCAACAAGUGGAAAAAUCAUUCUAUUCUAAAACAGCAAUACAAAAUUAUUAGCUAAAAAGACUUCCUCUUUGUGCCCCUUGUGGAAUUCUGAUUUUUUAAUCUCUACCCACAAGCCUACUUCUAUCACAUCUCCCAGAGGAGGCAGAUAAGUAAAGAGCCCUCCAUUAACUGACCUGGGCUUUCCCUGUGUGGGAAGAAGCUGGGUGUGACUCAGUAGGAAGAAAACCUGUAUUCCUGCCUCACCUGGCCAAGCCAUCCUAUCCUCCUCUGGGAAUGCUCUGGCAACCCCUUUCCUCUUGGACUGCGUCCAGCUAACACCCCCCUAUUGGAAACAAUUGCUGCUUUACGCUGAUCACACCCCUUAGCAUUCCCAACUAAGGUUCUGUUCUGAGUGUUAAGAGUCCCCAAGUGGAUAUUUUAACAUGGAAUCUGCUUUUUUUACCUUAGUCUUUUGAAACAUCCAUAAACACCUAAUAACUUUUCUUACCAGAAAUACUGCAGCAAUUGUAAAAAACUCAAAUGCAAUUCCUUCAACAGCUAAGGCCAUUCCAAAAGUUCACCAGGCCAACCAAAAUCACAAAACAAAACAAAAAACCCCAGGGCAUUUAGGUAGUAAAUACCAUAUUUCUCAAAAACACUCCCAGGAAAGCCUCGAUAACUUUUAGUGAAAGCAAAAGUGUUCC
This 2269-nucleotide long non-coding RNA is filed under the name Sus scrofa (pig). RNAcentral describes it as "lncRNA (ENSSSCG00045034041.1)". The record is from RNAcentral. Lineage: Eukaryota; Metazoa; Chordata; Mammalia; Artiodactyla; Suidae.